AGGAUUCGUCCAAGUGAAGUAGAGGACAGUGGCGGACGGGUGAGUAACGCGUGAGCAACCUGGCUCUAAGAGGGGGACAACAGUUGGAAACGACUGCUAAUACCGCAUAACGUAUCGGGAUGGCAUCUUCCUGAUACCAAAGAUUUUAUCGCUUAGAGAUGGGCUCGCGUCUGAUUAGAUAGUUGGCGGGGUAACGGCCCACCAAGUCGACGAUCAGUAGCCGGACUGAGAGGUUGAACGGCCACAUUGGGACUGAGAUACGGCCCAGACUCC
Molecule: ribosomal RNA, 273 nt
Filed under: uncultured Oscillospiraceae bacterium
Lineage: Bacteria; Bacillati; Bacillota; Clostridia; Eubacteriales; Oscillospiraceae
Description: partial 16S ribosomal RNA
Rfam family: Bacterial small subunit ribosomal RNA
Source: RNAcentral